AGUCAAGCAAGAAAGGGUGUUUGGUGAAUGCCUUGGCGAAAGCCGGCGAUGAAGGACGUGGUUAGCUGCGAUAAGCCUCGGUUAGCCGUAAACAGGCUUUGAUCCGGGGAUGUCCGAAUGGGGCAACCCCCGAAGGUAAACCCUUCGGAUUCCUGUCUGAAUACAUAGGGCAGGAAGGCAACCCAGGGGAAUUGAACCAUCUUAGUACCCUGAGGAAAAGAAAACACCGUGAUUCCCCCAGUAGCGGCGAGCGAAAAGGGAACAGCCUAAACCUGACCGAUGUCAAGCCUGGACGCGUUGUCGGUUGGGGGUAGUGGGAGGAGGUUGGGCUGGAGUCCAGUCCAGCCGUCAGGUUACAAACCCGAAGUUUAGCCGAACAGGCUGGAAAGCCUGACCAGAGUCGGUAAUAGUCCGGUAGGCGAAAGACCGAGGGCCUGAUGGACCUUCUUCCCGAGUACCGCGGAAUCCGGGAAAGUCCGCGUGAAUCCAGCCCGACCACGGGCAAAGGCUAAAUACGUGCUUUCGACCGAUAGUGAACUAGUACCGCGAGGGAAAGGCGAAAAGAACCCCGAGAGGGGAGUGAAAUAGAACCUGAAACCAGACACCUACAAACAGUGGGAGGGCUAUGUCCUUGCGUGGCAACACAAAAGGAAAUGCCUGACCGCGUGCCUAUUGAAGAAUGAGCUGGCGAGUUACUGGUGUACAGCGAGGUUAAACCGCUUCAGCGGUGCAGCCGUAGCGAAAGCGAGUCCUAACCGGGCGUCUUUAGUUGUACACCGUAGACCCGAAGCCGGGUGAUCUACCCUUGGUCAGGAUGAAGUCCUACUAAUACGGGAUGGAGGUCCGAACCGGUGCCGGUUGAAAACGACUCGGAUGAACUGAGGGUAGGAGUGAAAGGCUAAUCAAACUCGGCGAUAGCUGGUUCUCCCCGAAAUAGCUUUAGGGCUAGCCUUCCGAAAUUAGAGAGCGGGGGUAGAGCUACUGGAUGGCUGCGAGGAGGCACCACCUCCUCAAUUCCAACCAAACUCCGAAUACCGCUUUUCUUUAUCGGAGGAGUCAGACAGUGGGGGCUAAGCUUCAUUGUCGAAAGGGAAAAAGCCCAGACCGUCGGUUAAGGUCCCAAAAUACGGACUAAGUGGGAAAGGAAGUGGGUUCGCCCAGACAGCCAGGAGGUUGGCUCAGAAGCAGCCAUCCUUUAAAGAAAGCGUAACAGCUCACUGGCCGAUCACCCGCAAGGGUGCGAGCCUGCGCCGAAAAUUUAACGGGGCUCAAGUCCGUUACCGAAGCCACGGAAUAUUGUCCGCAAGGACGGUAUUGGUAGGGGAGCAUUCCCUAAGCCUGUGAAGCCUGACCGUAAGGACAGGUGGAGGUAUGGGAAGCGAGUAUGUCAGCAUAAGUAGCGAAAAUCCCGAUGAAAACUCGGGACGCCGAAAGUCUAAGGUUUCCUGGGCAAGGUCAAUCCACCCAGGGUUAGGCGGUGGCUAAGUCGAGGCCGAAAGGCGUAGAUGAUGCACAGCCGGUUAAUAUUCCGGCCCUGCCGAAAAGGCGUUAUCAGCGAAGGGGAGAAGCGGUAAGAUAGACCAUCCGUUUACUGGAUUACGGUCUAAGUCUGAAGGAGAGCCUCUUUGGAAAACCCGGGGGGCUGCUUCGCAAGGAGCAACUCCGGAAGACCAAUGGGACCCAAACCCACGGGGGCGGGGAACUGGUCGAAUCAAACCGCCAAGAAAAACCUCGUAGUGAGUCUUUUCGGUAGCCGUACCGCAAACCGACACAGGUAGACUGGCAGAAUAUGCCAAGGCGCUCGGGAUAAUCCUCGUUAAGGAACUCGGCAAAAUUGCCCCGUAACUUCGGAAGAAGGGGUGCCUGAGUAAUUUGGGCGCAAGUCUGAACGAAAAGGCCGCAGUGAAAUGGCUCCUGCGACUGUUUAAUAAAAACACAGGUGCCUGCUAAGUCGCAAGACGAUGUAUAGGCACUGACACCUGCCCGGUGCCGGAAGGUUAUGGAGAGGGGUGAGGCGCAAGCGUAGCCCUGAACCGAAGCCCCGGUAAACGGCGGCCGUAACUAUAACGGUCCUAAGGUAGCGAAAUUCCUUGUCGGGUGAGUUCCGACCCGCACGAAUGGUGUAACGACAGGAGCGCUGUCUCAACGAGGAACCCGGUGAAUUUGUGAUACCCGUGAAGACGCGGGUUACCCGCAACAAGACGAAAAGACCCCGUGAACCUUAACUGUAACUUGUUAUUGGGUUUUAAACUAGUAUGUGUAGGAUAGGUGGGAGGCUUUGAAGCCCCGGCGCUAGCUGGGGCAGAGCCAACGGUGAAAUACCACCCUUACUAUUUUGGAAUUCUAACCUCUCCCUGUUAUCCAGGGAAGGGACAGUGGCAGGCGGGCAGUUUGACUGGGGCGGUUGCCUCAAUGGUGGGGCGCCCUGAUGGCAACAUCAGGGGCAAAUCUGGCUGUAUGCUGGGAAGUCCGGAGUAUCACCGGUUACUUGGUAGUUUGAUUUUAAUAUCAAGUGAAAAUACCGGUGUGCGGACAAUCAGCAGGGAAGUUCUCAAAGAACCCCUCAACGACUAAACGCCAGACAGCCUUGUAAAAAGGCUGGUGAGAUAGUCUGAACUCUAUCGCGAGGUAGAGUCUGCUUUACGCGGACGCUCGGUUGGAACGGAGGAAGGGAUGCAUUCCAAAGAAAUUGAAACCUACAAAAAAUCGCUUAAACUCACAAAAAACCAACGUGAAAUUCUGAUCGGGACAUUAUUGGGAGAUGCCCACCUUGAAAGUCAAAACCACGGCAGGACUUACCGGUUAAAGAUAGAACAAAGCAUAAAACACCGUACUUACGUGGAACACCUUUAUCAGAUUUUCAAGGAGUGGGUAUCUACGCCGCCACGCGUAAGAACUCGUGUCGGAGAAAAUAAUUCCCGGAGCGAAAUGACUGGGUUUCAAACCUACAGCCAUGGUGCCCUGCGCUUCUAUGCCCAUCAAUUUUACCAGGCAGGGCGGAAACACGUACCGAAGCUCAUUCACCGCUGGCUGACACCAAGAGCAAUGGCUUACUGGUUUAUGGACGACGGUAGUAUCAAGUGGCGCCAUUCCAGGGCGGUAAUUUUUAAUACUCAAGGUUACACCCGGGAAGAAGUGCAAAAUCUGGCGGAUUUGAUACGUGGUAAAUUUGGAUUAGAUGCAAAACUGCGAAGACAAAAAGAAGGUUAUCAAAUAUGCAUCCUCGGCCAUUCUCUAAAGCAAUUUGUAGAAUUGGUCGGACCCUAUCUCCUUCCGGAAAUGAUUUACAAACUUCCUUUGGCCGGGCGAACAUUAUUGCCCAAAGAAUAACGGAGGUGUCCAAAGGUCACCUCAGGCCGGUUUGCAAUCGGCUGUUGAGUGUAAAGACAUAUGGUGGCCUGACUGCGAGAGAGACAUCUCGAGCAGAGGCGAAAGCCGGGCUUAAUGAUCCGGUGGUUCCGUGUGGAAGGGCCAUCGCUCAUCGGAUAAAAGGUACUCCGGGGAUAACAGGCUGAUCUCCCCCAAGAGUUCACAUCGACGGGGAGGUUUGGCACCUCGAUGUCGGCUCAUCGCAUCCUGGGGCUGAAGCAGGUCCCAAGGGUUGGUCUGUUCGCCCAUUAAAGCGGUACGUGAGCUGGGUUUAGAACGUCGCAAGACAGUUCGGUCUCUAUCUGCUGCGGGCGCAGGAGAUUUGAAGGGGAGCUAUCCCUAGUACGAGAGGACCGGGAUGGACGAACCUCUGGUGUUCCAGUUGUUCCGCCAGGAGCAAUCGCUGGGUAGCUAUGUUCGGACCGGAUAAGCGCUGAAAGCAUCUAAGCGCGAAGCCGACCUCAAGAUGAGAUCUCCCUCUUCUGGCCGCAAGGCCAGAAGACUUAAGGCUCCAAGAAGAUUACUUGGUUGAUAGGCCGGAGGUGUAAGUUCCGUAAGGAAUUGAGCCAACCGGUACUAAUCGGCCGUGCGGCUUGACUACAGAACC
Molecule: ribosomal RNA, 3976 nt
Filed under: bacterium (Candidatus Ratteibacteria) CG23_combo_of_CG06-09_8_20_14_all_48_7
Lineage: Bacteria; Candidatus Ratteibacteria
Description: bacterial LSU rRNA
Rfam family: Bacterial large subunit ribosomal RNA
Source: RNAcentral